RNAcentral lists this ribosomal RNA (487 nucleotides) under uncultured bacterium. RNAcentral describes it as "bacterial SSU rRNA". It matches the Rfam family "Bacterial small subunit ribosomal RNA", at positions 30 to 507 of the family's 1533-position model. The record is from RNAcentral.
AUUGAACGCUAGCGGGAGGCUUAACACAUGCAAGUCGAGGGGCAGCAUAGGGUAGCAAUACUCUGAUGGCGACCGGCAAACGGGUGAGUAACGCGUAUGCAACCUACCCUGUACAGGGGGAUAACCCGGAGAAAUUCGGACUAAUAUCCCGUAAUAAUAUCCGGAGGCAUCUUUGGAUAUUUAAAGUUCCGACGGUACGGGAUGGGCAUGCGUAACAUUAGCUGGUUGGUAAGGUAACGGCUUACCAAGGCUAUGAUGUUUAGGGGUCCUGAGAGGGUGGUCCCCCACACUGGUACUGAGACACGGACCAGACUCCUACGGGAGGCAGCAGUGAGGAAUAUUGGUCAAUGGGCGCAAGCCUGAACCAGCCAUCCCGCGUGCAGGAAGACGGCCCUAUGGGUUGUAAACUGCUUUUCCAGGGAGAGAAACUUACGCACGUGUUGCGUGACUGACGGUACCCUGGGAAUAAGCAUCGGCUAACUCCGUG